GGGGUAACAGGGAGCUUGCUCUGCUGACGACCGGCGCACGGGUGCGUAACGCGUAUGCAACCUACCUUCUACAGGGGGAUAGUCAAUAGAAAUGUUGAAUAAUACCCCAUACGAUCUUUGAGUGGCAUUACUCAAAGAGGAAAGCUUCGGCGGUAGAAGAUGGGCAUGCGUCCUAUUAGUUAGUUGGUGAGGUAACGGCUCACCAAGACUACGAUAGGUAGGGGCCCUGAGAGGGGGAUCCCCCACACUGGUACUGAGACACGGACCAGACUCCUACGGGAGGCAGCAGUGAGGAAUAUUGGACAAUGGAGGCAACUCUGAUCCAGCCAUGCCGCGUGCAGGAAGACUGCCCUAUGGGUUGUAAACUGCUUUUAUACAGGAAGAAACCUACUUACGUGUAAGUAGCUGACGGUACUGUAAGAAUAAGGAUCGGCUAA
Molecule: ribosomal RNA, 437 nt
Filed under: uncultured bacterium
Lineage: Bacteria
Description: bacterial SSU rRNA
Rfam family: Bacterial small subunit ribosomal RNA
Source: RNAcentral